GCUGAUGUAGCUUAACUUUAAAGCAUAGCACUGAAGAUGCUAAGACGGGCCCGAAUAAAGCUCCGUCGGCA
This 71-nucleotide transfer RNA is filed under the name Hyphessobrycon pulchripinnis. RNAcentral describes it as "tRNA-Phe". It matches the Rfam family "tRNA". From Rfam's summary of the family: Transfer RNA (tRNA) molecules are approximately 80 nucleotides in length. The record is from RNAcentral. Lineage: Eukaryota; Metazoa; Chordata; Actinopteri; Characiformes; Acestrorhamphidae.